Molecule: long non-coding RNA, 806 nt
Organism: Rhea pennata
Lineage: Eukaryota; Metazoa; Chordata; Aves; Rheiformes; Rheidae
Exons: 4
Source: RefSeq, a predicted model, not a curated record
AACAGCUGAUGCAGAAUUAUUUUUGUUUAUGCCAGCUAACACCAAAGGCUUUGGGGAAUCAUGGAUAUGCUGCAUGCUGAUUUUAGGAGGCUCACCACUUUUAACAAAAUUUUGAGUUACAGUCUUCUUGAGUUAUAGUCUUCAAUCUCCCCUAUUUUACAGCCAUAAAUUAUCCUGAGAUGCACUACUCUACUCAUACAUAGUUCCCCCACCCACUUCAAUAAUGUCCUUUGCUCUCAGGAUAUAUUAAGUACAGCAUGAUUGCUCUGGAGAUUAUUUUCUCCUUUUUUAUUGCUUUUGGCUGUUUAUUACUACUCAUUAGAAUGUUAUUAACUUGGCCUCAGUUACGACAAUAUUCAACACCUGCUUCACAUAACAAGCACUUUUCUUUUCCUUUCCCUAGCAUUGCACACCUGGGCCUUGAAUUAUUCCCUUUGGCUGAGUUAAAAGAAGCAGAGUGAGAGGUCCUUGAUUUUUCUGAGGAACAGAAGGAAAGGAAAUUCUCAGAUGACCAGCCCGAGAUGGCACUGAUGGUUUCCUCUCCCCUGGGUUUCCUGAGAUCAAAUGCUGUUGAAGUUACCUACGUAACCGUGUUAGCUAAAGAGGAAGACUUUACUGUAUGAAGUCAAAAAAUGCAAAUAUUGAGAUUACCUUCUUCCAGGCUAUCAGGAUGCCAUUUUGCCAGCUGUGAGGAAGGAUGUGGUCGCCUGAGCCUUUAGUGUCUUGGGAGGUGACAGAUGUGGGCUGAACAUUCAAAGCAAUCUUUUACGUGCUCAGCCAGAGAUUGGUUUCGGUGGCAAUAGACC